Molecule: ribosomal RNA, 477 nt
Filed under: uncultured bacterium
Lineage: Bacteria
Description: bacterial SSU rRNA
Rfam family: Bacterial small subunit ribosomal RNA
Source: RNAcentral
UGGGGAAUCUUGGACAAUGGGGGCAACCCUGAUCCAGCCAUGCCGCGUGAGUGAUGAAGGCCUUAGGGUCGUAAAGCUCUUUCGCCUGUGAAGAUAAUGACGGUAGCAGGUAAAGAAACCCCGGCUAACUCCGUGCCAGCAGCCGCGGUAAUACGGAGGGGGUUAGCGUUGUUCGGAAUUACUGGGCGUAAAGCGCACGUAGGCGGACCAGAAAGUUGGGGGUGAAAUCCCGGGGGCUCAACCCCGGAACUGCCUCCAAAACUAUUGGUCUAGAGUUCGAGAGAGGUGAGUGGAAUUCCAAGUGUAGAGGUGAAAUUCGUAGAUAUUUGGAGGAACACCAGUGGCGAAGGCGGCUCACUGGCUCGAUACUGACGCUGAGGUGCGAAAGUGUGGGGAGCAAACAGGAUUAGAUACCCUGGUAGUCCACACCGUAAAACGAUGAAUGCCAGUCGUCGGGUAGCAUGCUAUUCGGUGACA